UAAUACACGCAAAUAAGCUCCAACCGUAUGGGCGGAGCGCAUUUAUUAGAACAAAACCAAUCGAGGCCUUCGGGUCUCGUACUAUGGUGAAUCUGAAUAACUCAGCUGAUCGCACGGUCCUCGCACCGGCGACGUAUCUUUCAAGUGUCUGCCUUAUCAACUUUCGAUGGUAGUUUAUAUGCCUACCAUGGUUGUAACGGGUAACGGAGAAUAAGGGUUCGACUCCGGAGAGGGAGCCUGAGAAACGGCUACCACAUCCAAGGAAGGCAGCAGGCGCGCAAAUUACCCACUCUCAGUACGAGGAGGUAGUGACGAAAAAUAACGAGACAGUUCUCUAUGAGGUCUGUCAUCGGAAUGGGUACAAUUUAAACCCUUUAACGAGGAUCUAUUGGAGGGCAAGUCUGGUGCCAGCAGCCGCGGUAAUUCCAGCUCCAAUAGCGUAUAUUAAAGUUGUUGCGGUUAAAAAGCUCGUAGUUGGAUCUGCGGUCUCGCGGGCCGGUCCCCCACAGGGUGUGACUGGUUUCGCAGGCCUACCUCGCUGGUUUUCCCUUGGUCCUCUUCACUGAGUGCCUUGGGUGACCAGUACGUUUACUUUGAAAAAAUUAGAGUGCUCAAAGCAGGCGCGUAGCCUGAAUAGUGGUGCAUGGAAUAAUGGAAUAGGACCUCGGUUCUAUUUUGUUGGUUUUCGGAGCUCGAGGUAAUGAUUAAGAGGGACAGACGGGGGCAUUCGUAUUGCUGCGUUAGAGGUGAAAUUCUUGGAUCGCAGCAAGACGGACAACUGCGAAAGCAUUUGCCAAGAAUGUUUUCAUUAAUCAAGAACGAAAGUAGAGU
Molecule: ribosomal RNA, 831 nt
Filed under: Metacyatholaimus delicatus
Lineage: Eukaryota; Metazoa; Nematoda; Chromadorea; Chromadorida; Cyatholaimidae
Description: SSU rRNA
Rfam family: Eukaryotic small subunit ribosomal RNA
Source: RNAcentral